AUUGAACGCUGGCGGCAGGCUUAACACAUGCAAGUCGAGCGGUAGCACAGGGGAGCUUGCUCCCUGGGUGACGAGCGGCGGACGGGUGGGUAAUGUCUGGGAAACUGCCUGAUGGAGGGGGAUAACUACUGGAAACGGUAGCUAAUACCGCAUAACGUCGCAAGACCAAAGAGGGGGACCUUCGGGCCUCUUGCCAUCAGAUGUGCCCAGAUGGGAUUAGCUAGUAGGUGGGGUAAUGGCUCACCUAGGCGACGAUCCCUAGCUAGUCUGAGAGGAUGACCAGCCACACUGGAACUGAGACACGGUCCAGACUCCUACGGGAGGCAGCAGUGGGGAAUAUUGCACAAUGGGCGCAAGCCUGAUGCAGCCAUGCCGCGUGUGUGAAGAAGGCCUUCGGGUUGUAAAGCACUUUCAGCGAGGAGGAAGGUGGUGAGCUUAAUACGUUCAUCAAUUGACGUUACUCGCAGAAGAAGCACCGGCUAACUCCGUG
Molecule: ribosomal RNA, 490 nt
Filed under: uncultured bacterium
Lineage: Bacteria
Description: partial 16S ribosomal RNA
Rfam family: Bacterial small subunit ribosomal RNA
Source: RNAcentral